AAGGGCGUCAGAGAGAGGAAGGGGCCAUGCCCCCGCUGCCCUGACUGCUCAGAGUUGGGGAAAUCAUCAGGAGUGAGACAGAAUCCACUGUGGGCAAAGUCCAUCUCUUGUUUUCUUCUGCGGUAAUGAAAUAGCACACAAAUGUUAUCAGGAAGGAAAACUGAACCCCCACCUCACAUGGGACCGAGUGACCUGGGCCGCUCUCCCAACAUGGUGCACACAGAUCCCUGCAGCCAGACACAGGAUGGCAGCCCAGGGUAAGAGGACACAUUCCUAGAAGAGAAAUUACUGGGUGAAAGUGAAUGAACAUUUUCCAAGCUACCGGUUCUCAAGUUGCUCUCCAGACACAUUUACCAAUUCUGUCCCCAGUGUGAGCAAAUUCACUCCCUGAACACUGGCUAUCAUUGGAUAUGAGGAUGUUUUGCAGUUUGAUAAUCAUUCCUUUGAUUUGUAAUAAAGGUGAGCAUCUUUUUC
This is a long non-coding RNA of Manis pentadactyla (Chinese pangolin), 474 nucleotides long. RefSeq lists it as uncharacterized. The transcript is spliced from 2 exons. Lineage: Eukaryota; Metazoa; Chordata; Mammalia; Pholidota; Manidae. The record is from RefSeq and is a predicted model, not a curated record.